CCCUUAGAUGUCCUGGGCCGCACGCGUGCUACAAUGGUCUUCGCAAACGGAUGCAUUCUCGAAGGAGAAUGCCAAUCUUGGAAUCUAUGCCUUGGUCGGGACAGUUGCUUGCAAUUUUUCGACUCGAACCAGGAAUUCCUUGUAAUCGUGAUUCAUCACAUCACGAUGAAUACGUCCCUGCCCUUUGUACACACCGCCCGUCGCUCCUACCGAUCGAAGAGUUAGGUGAAUUGUUUUGAUCGAUAAGAUUUGACUAUGGUCAACUCUCGUUGUGAAAUUCUGUGAAUCUGACUGUUUAGAGGAAGGAAAAGUCGUAACA
Molecule: ribosomal RNA, 319 nt
Filed under: uncultured eukaryote
Lineage: Eukaryota
Description: partial 18S ribosomal RNA
Rfam family: Eukaryotic small subunit ribosomal RNA
Source: RNAcentral